CUAAGGCUCCAGAGGAAGCCACGGCUAACUCUGUGCCAGCAGCCGCGGUAAUACAGAGGCGGCAAGCGUUGUUCGGAAUUAUUGGGCGUAAAGAGCACGUAGGCGGCCCUGAAAGUCAGUUGUGAAAGCCUUCCGCUUAACGGAAGAACGGCUUCUGGUACUGCAGGGCUAGAGUACGGAAGGGGAGAGUGGAACUUCUGGUGGAGCGGUGAAAUGCGUAGAUAUCAGAAGGAACGCCGGCGGCGAAAGCGACUCUCUGGUCCGAAACUGACGCUGAGUGUGCGAAAGCUAGGGGAGCAAACGGGAUUAGAUACCCCGGUAGUCCUAGCCGUAAA
Molecule: ribosomal RNA, 335 nt
Filed under: uncultured Planctomycetales bacterium
Lineage: Bacteria; Pseudomonadati; Planctomycetota; Planctomycetia; Planctomycetales
Description: bacterial SSU rRNA
Rfam family: Bacterial small subunit ribosomal RNA
Source: RNAcentral